This is a long non-coding RNA of Notothenia coriiceps (black rockcod), 580 nucleotides long. RefSeq lists it as uncharacterized. NCBI's taxonomy places the organism in Eukaryota, Metazoa, Chordata, Actinopteri, Perciformes, Nototheniidae. The record is from RefSeq and is a predicted model, not a curated record. The transcript has 4 exons.
CUCAUCAGGACUUCUUUGUGUCUGCUUGCUUUUGUUCACAGCUCUGACCACUUCUACACCUUCAUCAUCCGUCCCAUCAGCAUCCUCCACAACAACAAACCAAAGUGAAAGUUCCACAACUUCACUAGCCUCGCCUAAAACCACCAAGCACCCUGAAGAAACUAAAGGUGUGAUCCUGUAUGUGCGUCUGACUCUGGUCGUCGUGGUCAUCGUGUCAUCACUGUCUGUGCUGGUAUUCUGCAGGAAGAGGAUUUGUAAAGACAAAAGUGAGGAACCAGAACCUCAUGUGGAAACACAAUGUGCUUCUGCACCGGAGGAGAAAGACGACCUGAGUCAACACGCGUACCUGAGAUCAAUUUGUCAGCGUCGACUCGUCCACAGCGGGUUUCCAUGGUGACGCUGGUGUGUUUUUGUCAUCUGUUCCUCGGGUGAAGCUAGCUCUGAUGGAGCCCCCUCUGUACUCUACUGUUAACAACCCCCAAUACUCUCACAGUCUGGCAGAAGAAAGCUGGUGUGAAUAGCAGCCGUGUAAAUAAUCUGAACAGGAGAUGUUUGGGGAAUAUGUACGAUAUUGAACCAU